Molecule: non-coding RNA, 366 nt
Organism: Vicia faba (fava bean)
Lineage: Eukaryota; Viridiplantae; Streptophyta; Magnoliopsida; Fabales; Fabaceae
Source: the annotation of a GenBank genome assembly
AUUAUUACAGUUAUUAUUUGUAUUAUCAUUUACACACUCCACCAACAGAAACAUACCCGCUUCCGCCACUACAGACGACGCCAUCUUUGCAAACUCGCACCGGACCACCACGCACAAUCAGAAGCUGUAAAACAGGAAAAUAACAAACUUAACAUGUACACAAUUUGUUUUUUUGUUUGUAGAGAACAAGAUCGGGAAAUACGCUCUCAUCAGCCCUCCGUGAAGUCGACAACAAGCGCACCUACUCUUCCGUACAACCAGCACCACGAUACAAACGCUACUGGCGAGUCAGCUGCAACCGCAAAUCGUCGUGCGAAUCUUACGGCACUGUUGCUAUUAAGGUUGGAUUUUCCCUUUUCAUUUUGA